AGCGAACGCUGGCGGCAGGCUUAACACAUGCAAGUCGAACGGUCCUUCGGGAUAGUGGCGGACGGGUGAGUAACACGUGAGAACGUACCCUUAGGUUCGGAACAACACAGGGAAACUUGUGCUAAUACCGGAUAAGCCCUUCGGGGGAAAGAUUUAUCGCCUUUGGAGCGGCCCGCGUCUGAUUAGCUUGUUGGUGAGGUAGUGGCUCACCAAGGCUACGAUCAGUAGCUGGUCUGAGGGGAUGGCCAGCCACACUGGGACUAAGACACGGCCCAGACUCCUACGGGAGGCAGCAGUGGGGAAUCUUGCGCAAUGGGCGAAAGCCUGACGCAGCCAUGCCGCGUGGAUGAUGAAGGUCUUAGGAUUGUAAAAUCCUUUCACCGGGGACGAUAAUGACGGUACCCGGAGAAGAAGCCCCGGCUAACUUCGUGCCAGCCGCCGCCGUAA
This 447-nucleotide ribosomal RNA is filed under the name uncultured bacterium. RNAcentral describes it as "partial 16S ribosomal RNA". It matches the Rfam family "Bacterial small subunit ribosomal RNA", at positions 29 to 523 of the family's 1533-position model. The record is from RNAcentral.